This 465-nucleotide ribosomal RNA is filed under the name uncultured bacterium. RNAcentral's name for it is "partial 16S ribosomal RNA". It matches the Rfam family "Bacterial small subunit ribosomal RNA", at positions 338 to 795 of the family's 1533-position model. The record is from RNAcentral.
CCUACGGGCGGCAGCAGUGGGGAAUAUUGCGCAAUGGGCGAAAGCCUGACGCAGCGACGCCGCGUGAGGGAUGCAGGUCUUCGGAUCGUAAACCUCUGUCAGCAGGGAAGAACGGUCACUGUGCUAAUCAGCAGUGAAUUGACGGUACCUGCAAAGGAAGCACCGGCUAACUACGUGCCAGCAGCCGCGGUAAUACGGAGGGUGCGAGCGUUAAUCGGAAUUACUGGGCGUAAAGCGCUCGUAGGCGGUAUGUCAAGUCAAGGGUGAAAUCCCCGCGCUCAACGUGGGAACUGCCUUUGAAACUGGCAAACUGGGGUGUGUGAGAGGAUAGUGGAAUUCCAGGUGUAGGAGUGAAAUCCGUAGAUAUCUGGAGGAACAACAGUGGCGAAGGCGACUAUCUGGCACAUAACUGACGCUGAGGAGCGAAAGCGUGGGUAGCAAACAGGAUUAGAUACCCUUGUAGUC